Molecule: ribosomal RNA, 421 nt
Filed under: uncultured eukaryote
Lineage: Eukaryota
Description: SSU rRNA
Rfam family: Eukaryotic small subunit ribosomal RNA
Source: RNAcentral
CAAUAGCGUAUAUUAAGUUGUUGCAGUUAAAAGCUCGUAGUUGGAUUUCUGGGAGGGUGCCAAUGUCCGUCGUCGUACGUGUUGCAGCGGCGCCCUUCCAUCCUUCUGUUAACGACUUUGGGCAUUCAUUUGCCGGAGUCGGGCUCAGAUAUUUUACCUUGAGAAAAUUAGAGUGUUUCAGGCAGGCUAGGCCGGAAUACAUUAGCAUGGAAUAAUGGAAUAGGACUACGGUCUCUUUGUUGGUUUGAGGGACUGCAGUAAAUGAUUAAAUAGGGGAUAGUUGGGGGCAGUUAGUAUUUAAUUGUCAGAGGUGGAAUUCUCGGAUUUGUUAAAAGACUAACUUAUGCGAAAGCAUUUGCCAAGGAUGUUUUCAUUAAAUCAAGAAACGAAAAGUUAGGGGGAUCAAAAGAUGAUCAGAUAC